Molecule: ribosomal RNA, 253 nt
Filed under: uncultured bacterium
Lineage: Bacteria
Description: partial 16S ribosomal RNA
Rfam family: Bacterial small subunit ribosomal RNA
Source: RNAcentral
UACAGAGGGUGCAAGCGUUGUUCGGAAUUAUUGGGUUUAAAGGGUGCGUAGGCGGCUUUGUAAGUCAGCGGUGAAAUACUCUAGCUUAACUAGAGGGGUGCCAUUGAUACUGCGGAGCUUGAGUACAGAUGAGGUAGGCGGAAUUGACGGUGUAGCGGUGAAAUGCAUAGAUAUCGUCAAGAACACCGAUAGCGAAGGCAGCUUACUGGGCUGUAACUGACGCUGAUGCACGAAAGUGUGGGGAUCAAACAGG